GGUUAAGCGACUAAGCGUACACGGUGGAUGCCCUGGCAGUCAGAGGCGAUGAAGGACGUGCUAAUCUGCGAAAAGCGCCGGCGAGGUGAUAUGAACCUUUGACCCGGCGAUGUCCGAAUGGGGAAACCCAGUGUGUUCCGACACACUAUCGUUAACUGAAUACAUAGGUUAACGAGGCGAACCGGGGGAACUGAAACAUCUAAGUACCCCGAGGAAAAGAAAUCAACCGAGAUCCCCCAGUAGCGGCGAGCGAACGGGGAGCAGCCCGGAGUCUGAAUCAGCUUGUGUGUUAGUGGAACGGUCUGGAAAGUCCGACGGUACAGGGUGAUAGUCCCGUACACGAAAAUGCACAUGCUGUGAACUCGAAGAGUAGGGCGGGACACGUGGUAUCCUGUCUGAAUAUGGGGGGACCAUCCUCCAAGGCUAAAUACUCCUGACUGACCGAUAGUGAACCAGUACCGUGAGGGAAAGGCGAAAAGAACCCCGGCGAGGGGAGUGAAAAAGAACCUGAAACCGUGUACGUACAAGCAGUGGGAGCACCUUCGGGUGUGACUGCGUACCUUUUGUAUAAUGGGUCAGCGACUUAUAUUCUGUAGCAAGGUUAACCGUAUAGGGGAGCCGAAGGGAAACCGAGUCUUAACUGGGCGUUAAGUUGCAGGGUAUAGACCCGAAACCCGGUGAUCUAGCCAUGGGCAGGUUGAAGGUUGGGUAACACUAACUGGAGGACCGAACCGACUAAUGUUGAAAAAUUAGCGGAUGACCUGUGGCUGGGGGUGAAAGGCCAAUCAAACCGGGAGAUAGCUGGUUCUCCCCGAAAGCUAUUUAGGUAGCGCCUCGUGAACUCAUCUUCGGGGGUAGAGCACUGUUUCGGCUAGGGGGCCAUCCCGGCUUACCAACCCGAUGCAAACUACGAAUACCGAAGAAUGUUAUCACGGGAGACACACGGCGGGUGCUAACGUCCGUCGUGAAGAGGGAAACAACCCAGACCGCCAGCUAAGGUCCCAAAGUCAUGGUUAAGUGGGAAACGAUGUGGGAAGGCACAGACAGCCAGGAUGUUGGCUUAGAAGCAGCCAUCAUUUAAAGAAAGCGUAAUAGCUCACUGGUCGAGUCGGCCUGCGCGGAAGAUGUAACGGGGCUAAACCAUGCACCGAAGCUGCGGCAGCGACGCUUAUGCGUUGUUGGGUAGGGGAGCGUUCUGUAAGCCGUUGAAGGUGUGCUGUGAGGCAUGCUGGAGGUAUCAGAAGUGCGAAUGCUGACAUAAGUAACGAUAAAGCGGGUGAAAAGCCCGCUCGCCGGAAGACCAAGGGUUCCUGUCCAACGUUAAUCGGGGCAGGGUGAGUCGACCCCUAAGGCGAGGCCGAAAGGCGUAGUCGAUGGGAAACAGGUUAAUAUUCCUGUACUUGGUGUUACUGCGAAGGGGGGACGGAGAAGGCUAUGUCAGCCGGGCGACGGUUGUCCCGGUUUAAGCAUGUAGGCGGAGGUUCCAGGUAAAUCCGGUACCUUGUUAACGCUGAGGUGUGAUGACGAGGCACUACGGUGCUGAAGUGAUAAAUGCCCUGCUUCCAGGAAAAGCCUCUAAGCAUCAGGUAACACGAAAUCGUACCCCAAACCGACACAGGUGGUCAGGUAGAGAAUACCAAGGCGCUUGAGAGAACUCGGGUGAAGGAACUAGGCAAAAUGGUGCCGUAACUUCGGGAGAAGGCACGCUGAUAUGUAGGUGAAGUCCCUGCGGACGGAGCUGAAAUCAGUCGAAGAUACCAGCUGGCUGCAACUGUUUAUUAAAAACACAGCACUGUGCAAACACGAAAGUGGACGUAUACGGUGUGACGCCUGCCCGGUGCCGGAAGGUUAAUUGAUGGGGUUAGCGGCAACGCGAAGCUCUUGAUCGAAGCCCCGGUAAACGGCGGCCGUAACUAUAACGGUCCUAAGGUAGCGAAAUUCCUUGUCGGGUAAGUUCCGACCUGCACGAAUGGCGUAAUGAUGGCCAGGCUGUCUCCACCCGAGACUCAGUGAAAUUGAACUCGCUGUGAAGAUGCAGUGUACCCGCGGCAAGACGGAAAGACCCCGUGAACCUUUACUAUAGCUUGACACUGAACACUGGUCCUUGAUGUGUAGGAUAGGUGGGAGGCUUUGAAGCGUGGACGCCAGUCUGCGUGGAGCCAUCCUUGAAAUACCACCCUUUAAUGGCUGGUGUUCUAACGUAGACCCGUGAUCCGGGUUGCGGACAGUGUCUGGUGGGUAGUUUGACUGGGGCGGUCUCCUCCCAAAGAGUAACGGAGGAGCACGAAGGUUGGCUAAUCCUGGUCGGACAUCAGGAGGUUAGUGCAAUGGCAUAAGCCAGCUUGACUGCGAGCGUGACGGCGCGAGCAGGUGCGAAAGCAGGUCAUAGUGAUCCGGUGGUUCUGAAUGGAAGGGCCAUCGCUCAACGGAUAAAAGGUACUCCGGGGAUAACAGGCUGAUACCGCCCAAGAGUUCAUAUCGACGGCGGUGUUUGGCACCUCGAUGUCGGCUCAUCACAUCCUGGGGCUGAAGUAGGUCCCAAGGGUAUGGCUGUUCGCCAUUUAAAGUGGUACGCGAGCUGGGUUUAGAACGUCGUGAGACAGUUCGGUCCCUAUCUGCCGUGGGCGCUGGAGAAUUGAGGGGGGCUGCUCCUAGUACGAGAGGACCGGAGUGGACGCAUCACUGGUGUUCGGGUUGUCAUGCCAAUGGCACUGCCCGGUAGCUAAAUGCGGAAGAGAUAAGUGCUGAAAGCAUCUAAGCACGAAACUUGCCCCGAGAUGAGUUCUCCCUGAGACCUUGAGUCUCCUGAAGGAACGUUGAAGACGACGACGUUGAUAGGUCGGGUGUGUAAGCGCAGCGAUGCGUUGAGCUAACCGAUACUAAUGAACCGUGAGGCUUAACCUU
RNAcentral lists this ribosomal RNA (2904 nucleotides) under Enterobacter hormaechei. RNAcentral's name for it is "23S ribosomal RNA". It matches the Rfam family "Bacterial large subunit ribosomal RNA". The record is from RNAcentral. Lineage: Bacteria; Pseudomonadati; Pseudomonadota; Gammaproteobacteria; Enterobacterales; Enterobacteriaceae.